UUAAUUUAAUUAUUAUUUUAGUUUAAUUGUUUUGUAAUUUUGUUAAUUAAUUUAAAUAAAAUUAUUUUUUAAGUUUUUGUAUAUUUUAUAGAAAAAAUUUAAAUUUAUUAUAGUUAAAUAGUAUUGUGAAAGAAUUUUUUAAAUAUUUAUGAAAAUUAAUUUUUAAUAAAGUAAUAUUUAAUUUAUGUACCUUGUGUAUCAGGGUUUAUUAAAAUUAUUAUAUUUAUUUUAUUUUUUUCUAAUUUAAAAGAUCUAAUUUUUUAUAAUUUUUAAUGUGAUAUUAUUAUUUUUAAUAAAAAUUUAGUAAUGAAAUGUUAUUCGUUUUUAAAGUUAUUUAAUUUUUUAAUAAAUAAAUUUAAUUUAUAUAUUAAAUUAAAAAUAUUAAUUUUAUUUUUUUUUAUUUUAAUUUAAUAUAAAUAUUUUAAGGGAUAAGCUUUAAAGUAAAUUAUUAUAAAUUUUUUUAUAUAAGAUAAAUUUUUUAAUAUAUUAUAGGCUUAAGAAUAGUUUUUAAAAAUAAAAAUGUUUUAAUUUAUUAUUAUUUAAAAUUUAAAUAUAAUUUUUUUUUCUUUUAAUUUUUUAUUAAAAUUAUAAAUUUAAUUAUUAAGUUUAUUUAAAAAUGAUGAAAUUAGUAAAUUAUAAAUGUAAAAAAUUAUUUAAUAUUUGAAAGGUUUUUUUAAGGAAUUCGGCAAAAUUUUAUAUUUGCUUGUUUAACAAAAACAUUGUUUUUUGAAUAUAAUUUAAAAUAUGAUCUGCUCAAUGAAUUUAAUUAUUUAAAUAGCCGCAGUAUUUUGACUGUGCAAAGGUAGCAUAAUAAUUAGUCUUUUAAUUGAAGGCUGGCAUGAAGGAUUGGACAAGAUAUAAGCUGUCUUAUAAAAAUUUGUAUUGAAUUUAAUUUUUAAGUUAAAAAGCUUAAAUGAUUUUAAAGGACGAGAAGACCCUAUAGAGUUUUAUAAUUUAUUUUAUUUAAUUUAUUAAAUUUUAUUUUAAAUUAAAUAAAUUAUUUUAUUGGGGUGAUAGAAAAAUUAAUUAAACUUUUUUAUUAUAAAAUUAUACAUAAAUUAAUGGAUUUUUGAUCCUAUUUUUUGGAUUAAUAGAUUAAAUUACCUUAGGGAUAACAGCGUAAUUUUUUUAGAGUUCUUAUCGAUUUAAGAGAUUGCGACCUCGAUGUUGGAUUAAAAUUUAACUUAGGUGUAGAAGUUUAAGUUUUGGGUCUGUUCGACCUUUAGUAUUUUACAUGAUCUGAGUUCAGACCGGUGUAAGCCAGGUUGGAUUCUAUCCUUAAAUUUAUAAAAAAUUUAUAGUACGAAAGGAAUUAAAUUAAAAUUUAAAAUUUAUUUUAUGAUUUAAAUUAAUUGUAAUA
RNAcentral lists this ribosomal RNA (1360 nucleotides) under Pseudoclavellaria amerinae. RNAcentral's name for it is "16S ribosomal RNA". The record is from RNAcentral. Lineage: Eukaryota; Metazoa; Arthropoda; Insecta; Hymenoptera; Cimbicidae.